GUAAAGCCAGAUCUCAGCAGUCAAGGUCAAGUGAGUGAGGCAUACCCCGCAACGAUGGCGUCGGCCUCGGAGCGUGGGCGAAGCGUGCCGCCGGAGGACCCCGGCCUUCUUAGGAGACGCCGACUAGGAGAUGGCAGGAACUUCCCGGACAGCGAGGUAGUUUUAUUUUGCACCGGAGGCGGAUUCCCAUCCCGGACGUCCGAGAGAUAAGUCGAGGGUUACGACCCACAGAGGGGAUGAAAGCAGGGUGCCGGGUCGGGCCUCGCCGGGAGGGAUUUUUGAGUCGGCUUUGAAGGCGGGAAUGUCCCAGAAGGGGCCCCUUAGCCCACAUAAAGGGCAAGUCUUACUUUUGAUCACAAUGUCGAGGCGGGCAGAGCAGUCCCGGUGUGUGUCGUGUCACUUGUCUAUUGUAUGUUCUGUGUCUUUUGGGCAUCUUGCGUCUUAGGUCUUUUUCCUUA
Molecule: long non-coding RNA, 458 nt
Organism: Corvus hawaiiensis (hawaiian crow)
Lineage: Eukaryota; Metazoa; Chordata; Aves; Passeriformes; Corvidae
Exons: 3
Source: RefSeq, a predicted model, not a curated record